GAUGAACGCUGGCGGCGUGCCUAAUACAUGCAAGUCGAGCGAACAGACGAGGAGCUUGCUCCUCUGACGUUAGCGGCGGACGGGUGAGUAACACGUGGAUAACCUACCUAUAAGACUGGGAUAACUUCGGGAAACCGGAGCUAAUACCGGAUAAUAUAUUGAACCGCAUGGUUCAAUAGUGAAAGACGGUUUUGCUGUCACUUAUAGAUGGAUCCGCGCCGGAUUAGCUAGUUGGUAAGGUAACGGCUUACCAAGGCAACGAUGCGUAGCCGACCUGAGAGGGUGGUAGGCCACCCUGGAACUGGGACACGGUCCAGACCCCUAAGGGAGGGAGCAGUAGGGAAUUUUACGCAAUGGGGGAAAGCCUGACGGAGAAACGCCGGGUGGGUGGUGAAGGUCUUGGGAUCGUAAAACUCUGUUAUUAGGGAAAAACAAAUUUGUAAGUAACUAAGCACUUCUUGACGGUAACUAAUCAAAAAGCCCCGGCUAACUACGUG
Molecule: ribosomal RNA, 497 nt
Filed under: uncultured bacterium
Lineage: Bacteria
Description: partial 16S ribosomal RNA
Rfam family: Bacterial small subunit ribosomal RNA
Source: RNAcentral